Molecule: unclassified non-coding RNA, 327 nt
Filed under: soil metagenome
Description: partial contains 5.8S ribosomal RNA, internal transcribed spacer 2, and large subunit ribosomal RNA
Rfam family: 5.8S ribosomal RNA (bases 1-120)
Source: RNAcentral
GAUGAAGAACGUAGCGAAAUGCGAUAAGUAAUGUGAAUUGCAGAAUUCAGUGAAUCAUCGAAUCUUUGAACGCACAUUGCGCCCACUAGUAUUCUGGUGGGCAUGCUUGUUCGAGCGUCAUUUCAACCCUCAAGCCUGGCUUGGUGUUGGGGCUCUGCGCAUGCAGUCCCUUAAAUCCAGUGGCGGACACGCUAGGUCUCCGAGCGCAGUAGUUUCUUCUCGCUUCGGGCGUCCGGCGUGGGCUUGCCUCGCACCCACUAUUUACAAGGUUGACCUCGGAUCAGGUAGGAAUACCCGCUGAACUUAAGCAUAUCAAUAAGCGGAGGA